This 397-nucleotide ribosomal RNA is filed under the name uncultured bacterium. RNAcentral describes it as "partial 16S ribosomal RNA". It matches the Rfam family "Bacterial small subunit ribosomal RNA", at positions 360 to 775 of the family's 1533-position model. The record is from RNAcentral.
AAUAUUGCACAAUGGAGGAAACUCUGAUGCAGCGACGCCGCGUGAACGAUGAAGGCCUUCGGGUCGUAAAGUUCUGUCCUGGGGGACGAUAAUGACGGUACCCCAGGAGGAAGCCCCGGCUCACUACGUGUCAGCAGCCGCGGUAAUACGUAGGGGGCGAGCGUUGUCCGGAAUUAUUGGGCGUAAAGGGUUCGUAGGCGGUUUUUUAAGUCAGAUGUGAAAGGUCACGGCUCAACCGUGGUAAGCAUUUGAAACUGAAAGACUUGAGUUAAGGAGAGGAAAGUGGAAUUCCCAGUGUAGCGGUGAAAUGCGUAGAUAUUGGGAGGAACACCAGUGGCGAAGGCGACUACCUGGACGAAAACUGACGCUGAUGCACGAAAGCGUGGGGAGCGAACAG